ACUCCUUAAACUCGAAGUCUUCAAGGCCAAUCCCUGAUUCUCUCGCGCGCUCCACAAAGAAACGAGCAAGAGGAGAGCUAGGGUUAGGGUUUUCACCUUACUGAAGAAGAAAAUGGGCUCAUCCGUUUGUGUCCGAGUCCAAUUGCGAACCUCAACGACCUUAUCUCAAAGCUCAUGCAGUGCAAGCCAUUCGCAGAGCACCAGGUUCCAGAUACCUAUUACUUAUUUAUGGGAGAUUAUUUGGACGAUGGAGAUUAUUCUUCUUAUGAUUAAUCUACAGUUGAGCCAGCCACUAGGAGAGGAGAACCAGAUGUGACCCUGUAGGAUGACUGAUCAUUUUCUAGGAAGCAGCUGCUCGUCAUGUGCUUUCCCAGUGACUUCAGAUCAUUUUCCAUGAAGCAGCUGCUCGCCAUGUGCUUUCCCAGCGACUUCAUCUCUCUCGCUCACACAUGAUGGUUGCGAAAUUGAAUUCCUCUGAUGGUUGUGGGAGCUGAAACCAUGUAAAAAAAAAAAUGUUCAUUGCUUGAUCUAUCUUACAUGUCUUCUUGCAUGACUCCUUUCUGGGGGAGUUCAUUUAGCUGGUCUUCAUUUUGCUCUUCCACCCUCCUUUUUGGAACUAUGGAAGGAUGUAUAUGAUCUUACAUUUAAGAAUCAGAAUAGAUGAUUUCAUACAAUUUCUGAUUCUAUAU
Molecule: long non-coding RNA, 689 nt
Organism: Vitis vinifera (wine grape)
Lineage: Eukaryota; Viridiplantae; Streptophyta; Magnoliopsida; Vitales; Vitaceae
Exons: 3
Source: RefSeq, a predicted model, not a curated record